Molecule: ribosomal RNA, 228 nt
Filed under: Debaryomyces hansenii
Lineage: Eukaryota; Fungi; Ascomycota; Pichiomycetes; Serinales; Debaryomycetaceae
Description: partial large subunit ribosomal RNA
Rfam family: Eukaryotic large subunit ribosomal RNA
Source: RNAcentral
AGAGUCGAGUUGUUUGGGAAUGCAGCUCUAAGUGGGUGGUAAAUUCCAUCUAAAGCUAAAUAUUGGCGAGAGACCGAUAGCGAACAAGUACAGUGAUGGAAAGAUGAAAAGAACUUUGAAAAGAGAGUGAAAAAGUACGUGAAAUUGUUGAAAGGGAAGGGCUUGAGAUCAGACUUGGUAUUUUGCGAUCCUUUCCUUCUUGGUUGGGUUCUCCGCAGCUUACUGGGC